Molecule: ribosomal RNA, 253 nt
Filed under: uncultured bacterium
Lineage: Bacteria
Description: partial 16S ribosomal RNA
Rfam family: Bacterial small subunit ribosomal RNA
Source: RNAcentral
CACGUAGGGCGCAAGCGUUGUCCGGAAUUAUUGGGCGUAAAGAGCUCGUAGGCGGUCUGUUGCGUCUGCUGUGAAAACUCGGGGCUUAACCCCGAGCCUGCAGUGGAUACGGGCAGACUAGAGGUAGGUAGGGGAGAAUGGAGUUCCCGGUGUAGCGGUGAAAUGCGCAGAUAUCGGGAGGAACACCGGUGGCGAAGGCGGUUCUCUGGGCCUUACCUGACGCUGAGGAGCGAAAGCGUGGGGAGCGAACAGG